UGAGGAAUAUUGGUCAAUGGGUGCAAGCCUGAACCAGCCAUCCCGCGUGAAGGACGACUGCCCUAUGGGUUGUAAACUUCUUUUGUAUAGGGAUAAACCUACCCUCGUGAGGGUAGCUGAAGGUACUAUACGAAUAAGCACCGGCUAACUCCGUGCCAGCAGCCGCGGUAAUACGGAGGGUGCAAGCGUUAUCCGGAUUUAUUGGGUUUAAAGGGUCCGUAGGCGGACUUAUAAGUCAGUGGUGAAAGCCUGUCGCUUAACGAUAGAACUGCCAUUGAUACUGUAAGUCUUGAGUAUAUUUGAGGUAGCUGGAAUAAGUAGUGUAGCGGUGAAAUGCAUAGAUAUUACUUAGAACACCUAUUGCGAAGGCAGGUUACCAAGAUAUAACUGACGCUGAGGGACGAAAGCGUGGGGAGCGAACA
This 422-nucleotide ribosomal RNA is filed under the name uncultured bacterium. RNAcentral describes it as "bacterial SSU rRNA". It matches the Rfam family "Bacterial small subunit ribosomal RNA", at positions 355 to 774 of the family's 1533-position model. The record is from RNAcentral.